CUUUAUUGGAGAGUUUGAUCCUGGCUCAGGAUGAAUGCUGGCGGCGUGCCUAAUACAUGCAAGUCGAGCGAAUGGAUUGAGAGCUUGCUCUCAAGAAGUUAGCGGCGGACGGG
Molecule: ribosomal RNA, 113 nt
Filed under: Bacillus thuringiensis serovar cameroun
Lineage: Bacteria; Bacillati; Bacillota; Bacilli; Caryophanales; Bacillaceae
Description: partial 16S ribosomal RNA
Rfam family: Bacterial small subunit ribosomal RNA
Source: RNAcentral